RNAcentral lists this small nucleolar RNA (132 nucleotides) under Piliocolobus tephrosceles (Ugandan red Colobus). RNAcentral describes it as "Small nucleolar RNA SNORA51 (ENSPTEG00000020662.1)". It matches the Rfam family "Small nucleolar RNA SNORA51". From Rfam's summary of the family: ACA51 is a member of the H/ACA class of snoRNA that guide the sites of modification of uridines to pseudouridines. Lineage: Eukaryota; Metazoa; Chordata; Mammalia; Primates; Cercopithecidae. The record is from Rfam by way of RNAcentral.
GCCCUUCUGGUGCUUACCACAGGCGGUGUUCUUACACUGAGUUUAUAGAAAGAGAAGGUAGAAUAAAUGUACCCCAUAUACGCUUCAGCCCAGGAUCUGUGCCUGGUCUGUAUUGUGAAUGGGGAAACAUAG